Molecule: long non-coding RNA, 2370 nt
Filed under: Lactuca sativa (garden lettuce)
Lineage: Eukaryota; Viridiplantae; Streptophyta; Magnoliopsida; Asterales; Asteraceae
Description: long non-coding RNA (LSAT_LNC003753)
Source: RNAcentral
AAAUAUCCCCCAGGACUACUACGAAACUUCAUCUCCCCCUUUCUUCUCUAUCUCUCUCACCUGCAUACUCACAAAUACCUCACAUGCUUGAUAUCUUUGGAACUAUUUCAAAUCUACUUCCAUAUCUUCAUUCGAUCAUCAAACUAUACAAGAAAUAUGAUCAAAUAUCUCACUACUGAAUUUAUUUUUAGAUAACACUCUUCACAUGCCCCUUCAUCUUCUCAACUCCCUCUCUCUCGUGUUCCUUUAGAUCACAGAAAAACCCAGCAACAACCGAAGUUGUUGCCUUCUUCAACCCAACCUCUCGUAUUCCUUCCAUUUUAAUGGCAGACUGACCGAUAACCACAAAACCACCGCCAUGGCCAGUUGAAGCAAGCCUCCGAUCGCAAACAGGACCGUCGACACUGCUCACUGGAGAAGAAGAACCGGCGACAACCACUAUUUACCCUCCUGUCUUCAUCUCUUUUCAACCUUCAAGCAGUUUCUCGUCAUUCCUUACUCCUCCAUUGAUCUCAAGUAACCAUAUAUCAUUCUUUUCUAUUCAGAACACAUUCAAAAAUCCCGAAGAACAGCCAACACCUGCCAUGGUGGCCGGUGGCAUGAACAGUCCCGACAAGAUAAUCCCGAUGAUGGGUUCGAUACUAAACAAACAUAUAUAGUUUCCUUAUUACGUUACCUUUCUGUUUCUAGGUGUAUAAGUCGACUCCAAGAAUCCCGGAGCAAAACCCGCUCAAAACUCGAUCUUCCCGACACUUCCCAACUCUCGCUACUAAUGUGAGUCUCCAUGGCCCCUUUUUACUUUGUUAAACAGUUAUGGGGGGGGGGGGGGGNAUACACACAAGCAUAUGAUAUUAAAGGUUCAAACUAUAAGAAAUUGCAUGAGUUCAUAAAAUUUUAAAUGUUACAUUUAUUACUUAUAUGACACUUUUAUACAUAUUGUGACCGUUUUUGUGUCGCAUAAAAGCUUUUAUCCACAAAAAUGCACUAUUCACGUAAAAUGGAGUUAUGAAUUUCUUACCCUAUAAAACUUGUUGUACUUAUUCUUAUAUCAUAAUGAAACAUUAAAAAUCUCCAAAUUUUGUAUCUAUAUACCUCAUUGCAUGUUAUUCUAUUAUUUACAUAUAUGUAAAUAAUUAUACGUAAUAUGUUACUGUUAUUAUAUAUAGGUCACUUUUGGGUAUAAAAAUGUGCAAAAUUAUAGACUUAUAUAAACCCAAUAAGACAUACAUAUGUACUAAUAUGUCUAAGACAUACAUAUUUACUAAUAUGUCGACUAAUGGUUAUAUAUAUAAAAAUAAUAAUAAUAAUAGUAAUUUUGGAUGUUUAAUAUUGUCACUUUAUAAAAUAUUAAAUAUUUGGUUACAAGAAUAUUUGUUAAAUUUCUAGCUGUUAUUAUAAACUAAUAAACUAUAGGUUUAUAUCUGAUAAUCGUUAAAAUUGUGGAUUUUCACUUGAAUUGAAAAUUUGCUAUUGUUCCGAAUACAACCGUUAUGCGGCUUGAGUUUCGCUAAUAAGUUUUUAUUUGUUAUUAUUCAAAGAUAAAUAAACUUUAUAUAACUAAAGAAUUGUGAACAAAAAUACGGGAUCUUUAUGUGAGCUUAUUUUUCAUCAAACUAAGAAUAUAAACUUAGUGAAGCCCUCUGUAAUAACCGUUAAUCCCCAAGGAGCGGAGAAUGUUAUGUAUAGAUCUAUACGGAUUGACACCCCGUGCGCGGUUGCUAGCUACAACCUUCGUAUGACGAGACAAAACGGACGAUAACUUCUUAUUUUAUCUAAUUGUUGUUUUGACGUUGAUGAAGCGUCGUUGGAACUAUUUUAUAUUUAACAGAGGCGGAUACAAGUCUUAUAGCUUGGUUAUUAAACUCUACAUAACCCCGGAAAUCCAUUACCAAAAAUAUUAAUAUGAAUCAAAACGGAAGGUAUUGGUGUUAUUGGUUUAGUGAUAUUAUUUAUUUACAUAAGGUAAAUAAUUGGUAAUUCACUUAUUGAAAAUAUAUAAAUUGCUAUUUAUAUAUUCUAAAUAAUAUUGAUUUUGAGAUCUUAUACUGAUUCAAGAAAAUAUGUUCAUCUAAUUUAUAUUUAUUUGAAAUUUAUAAAGAUGUAUGUUUCCUUGGUUUAUAGUUCUUACAUUCAUAAAAAUUGCAUUUUAUUUUAUAAAACUCUCAGCGUCAAAACCUAUGGAGCUCACCAACAAUUUUGUUGACGUAUUUUUAAAAUGUGUGUAUUCUCAGGUAAAUAAGAAGUCGAAGGUAUGGCGUCGGUGCUAAGGAAAUAUUAUUUCCUUACUAUUAAAUAAUUGUGAUAUGUUUCUUUUUCUUUUUAUCGUCAAAUGUUAAAGUAUUGUAAUGCUUUCUUUUUUUUUUAAAAAAA